This 755-nucleotide ribosomal RNA is filed under the name uncultured bacterium. RNAcentral's name for it is "bacterial SSU rRNA". It matches the Rfam family "Bacterial small subunit ribosomal RNA", at positions 51 to 806 of the family's 1533-position model. The record is from RNAcentral.
ACACAUGCAAGUCGAACGAAGCAAUCUAACGGAAGUUUUCGGAUGGAAGUUAGAUUGACUGAGUGGCGGACGGGUGAGUAACGCGUGGGUAACCUGCCUCACACUGGGGGACAACAGUUAGAAAUGACUGCUAAUACCGCAUAAGCGCACAGGACCGCAUGGUCCGGUGUGAAAAACUCCGGUGGUGUGAGAUGGACCCGCGUUUGAUUAGCUAGUUGGUGGGGUAACGGCCUACCAAGGCGACGAUCAAUAGCCGACCUGAGAGGGUGACCGGCCACAUUGGGACUGAGACACGGCCCAAACUCCUACGGGAGGCAGCAGUGGGGAAUAUUGCACAAUGGGGGAAACCCUGAUGCAGCGACGCCGCGUGAGUGAAGAAGUAUUUCGGUAUGUAAAGCUCUAUCAGCAGGGAAGAAAAUGACGGUACCUGACUAAGAAGCCCCGGCUAACUACGUGCCAGCAGCCGCGGUAAUACGUAGGGGGCAAGCGUUAUCCGGAUUUACUGGGUGUAAAGGGAGCGUAGACGGUAAAGCAAGUCUGAAGUGAAAGCCCGGGGCUCAACCCCGGGACUGCUUUGGAAACUGUUUAACUAGAGUGCUGGAGAGGUAAGCGGAAUUCCUAGUGUAGCGGUGAAAUGCGUAGAUAUUAGGAGGAACACCAGUGGCGAAGGCGGCUUACUGGACAGUAACUGACGUUGAGGCUCGAAAGCGUGGGGAGCAAACAGGAUUAGAUACCCUGGUAGUCCACGCCGUAAA